CUCUGGUAUUGAUUGGUGCUUGCAUCAUGAUUUACAUUUGAGUGAGUGGCGAACUGGUGAGUAACACGUGGGAAACCUGCCCAGAAGCGGGGGAUAACACCUGGAAACAGAUGCUAAUACCGCAUAACAACUUGGACCGCAUGGUCCGAGCUUGAAAGAUGGCUUCGGCUAUCACUUUUGGAUGGUCCCGCGGCGUAUUAGCUAGAUGGUGGGGUAACGGCUCACCAUGGCAAUGAUACGUAGCCGACCUGAGAGGGUAAUCGGCCACAUUGGGACUGAGACACGGCCCAAACUCCUACGGGAGGCAGCAGUAGGGAAUCUUCCACAAUGGACGAAAGUCUGAUGGAGCAACGCCGCGUGAGUGAAGAAGGGUUUCGGCUCGUAAAACUCUGUUGUUAAAGAAGAACAUAUCUGAGAGUAACUGUUCAGGUAUUGACGGUAUUUAACCAGAAAGCCAUGGCUAACUACGUGCCAGCAGCCGCGGUAAUACGUAGGUGGCAAGCGUUGUCCGGAUUUAUUGGGCGUAAAGCGAGCGCAGGCGGUUUUUUAAGUCUGAUGUGAAAGCCUUCGGCUCAACCGAAGAAGUGCAUCGGAAACUGGGAAACUUGAGUGCAGAAGAGGACAGUGGAACUCCAUGUGUAGCGGUGAAAUGCGUAGAUAUAUGGAAGAACACCAGUGGCGAAGGCGGCUGUCUGGUCUGUAA
Molecule: ribosomal RNA, 703 nt
Filed under: uncultured Bacilli bacterium
Lineage: Bacteria; Bacillati; Bacillota; Bacilli
Description: bacterial SSU rRNA
Rfam family: Bacterial small subunit ribosomal RNA
Source: RNAcentral